RNAcentral lists this ribosomal RNA (450 nucleotides) under uncultured Glomeromycotina. Its description in RNAcentral is "SSU rRNA". It matches the Rfam family "Eukaryotic small subunit ribosomal RNA", at positions 569 to 1027 of the family's 1831-position model. Lineage: Eukaryota; Fungi; Glomeromycota. The record is from RNAcentral.
AGCAGCCGCGGUAAUUCCAGCUCCAAUAGCGUAUAUUAAAGUUGUUGCAGUUAAAAGCUCGUAGUUGAAUUUCGGGAUCAGUAUGUUGGUCGUGCUUCGGUACGUACUGUCAUUACUGGUUUCUACCUUCUGAAGAACCUUGAUGUCAUUAAUUUGGUGUCUUGGGGAAUCAGGACUGUUACUUUGAAAAAAUUGAGUGUUUAAAGCAAGCAUACGCUUGAAUACAUUAGCAUGGAAUAAUGAAAUAGGACGUUUGAUUCUAUUUUGUUGGUUUCUAGGAUCGACGUAAUGAUUAAUAGGGAUAGUUGGGGGCAUUAGUAUUCAAUUGUCAGAGGUGAAAUUCUUGGAUUUAUUGAAGACUAACUACUGCGAAAGCAUUUGCCAAGGAUGUUUUCAUUAAUCAAGAACGAAAGUUAGGGAUCGAAGACGAUCAGAUACCGUCGUAGUCUU